GGCCCAGUAGUUCAACUGGAUAGAAUAUCAGAUUUCGGCUCUGACGGUUGGGGGUUCGAAUCCUCCCUGGGUCGCUA
This 77-nucleotide transfer RNA is filed under the name Flavobacteriaceae bacterium. RNAcentral's name for it is "tRNA-Arg". It matches the Rfam family "tRNA". Rfam says of the family: Transfer RNA (tRNA) molecules are approximately 80 nucleotides in length. Their secondary structure includes four short double-helical elements and three loops (D, anti-codon, and T loops). Further hydrogen bonds mediate the characteristic L-shaped molecular structure. tRNAs have two regions of fundamental functional importance: the anti-codon, which is responsible for specific mRNA codon recognition, and the 3' end, to which the tRNAs corresponding amino acid is attached (by aminoacyl-tRNA synthetases). tRNAs cope with the degeneracy of the genetic code in two manners: having more than one tRNA (with a specific anti-codon) for a particular amino acid; and 'wobble' base-pairing, i.e. permitting non-standard base-pairing at the 3rd anti-codon position. RNAcentral also lists the same sequence under 1 other name. The record is from RNAcentral. Lineage: Bacteria; Pseudomonadati; Bacteroidota; Flavobacteriia; Flavobacteriales; Flavobacteriaceae.